Molecule: ribosomal RNA, 464 nt
Filed under: uncultured bacterium
Lineage: Bacteria
Description: partial 16S ribosomal RNA
Rfam family: Bacterial small subunit ribosomal RNA
Source: RNAcentral
CUACGGGUUGCUGCAGUGGGGAAUAUUGCACAAUGGGCGCAAGCCUGAUGCAGCCAUGCCGCGUGUAUGAAGAAGGCCUUCGGGUUGUAAAGUACUUUCAGCGGGGAGGAAGGGAGUAAAGUUAAUACCUUUGCUCAUUGACGUUACCCGCAGAAGAAGCACCGGCUAACUCCGUGCCAGCAGCCGCGGUAAUACGGAGGGUGCAAGCGUUAAUCGGAAUUACUGGGCGUAAAGCGCACGCAGGCGGUUUGCUAAGUCAGAUGUGAAAUCCCCGGGCUCAACCUGGGAACUGCAUCUGAUACUGGCAAGCUUGAGUCUCGUAGAGGGGGGUAGAAUUCCAGGUGUAGCGGUGAAAUGCGUAGAGAUCUGGAGGAAUACCGGUGGCGAAGGCGGCCCCCUGGACGAAGACUGACGCUCAGGUGCGAAAGCGUGGGGUGCAAACAGGAUUAGAUACCCUCGUAGUC